Molecule: long non-coding RNA, 511 nt
Organism: Lycium ferocissimum
Lineage: Eukaryota; Viridiplantae; Streptophyta; Magnoliopsida; Solanales; Solanaceae
Exons: 2
Source: RefSeq, a predicted model, not a curated record
AUUCUCAUCUUUUCUUUUCCAUGCCUAUGUUUUCACUUUUCACCAAUACCAGUAGACUAAAUGUCCUUUUCGCCCAACAUUUUUUCGUAUGAAGACAUGACUAAUUGCUUGAAUCAAGAUAACCUUCAUAUAGUUACGUGUCAACGAUGAAUAAAAUGGUUGAUCUAUAGUUCAUAAUGGUAUGUCAAUAAUUUUUCCCUUAUCUUUUGUUGUAUCUACAUGUUUCUUUUUUUUUUUUUUUCAGCGUUUCUUAUGCUUGUGUACUUCUUCCUCUUCACAAAAUUCUCAUCUUUAAUCACAGGAGAAACAAAUAGACAUAUGGAUAAUAACAAUGCCUACGAAAGUGGACUGAUGAAUUGGACUACAAAGAGACAAAGAAAUAAACAAUUUCAGACGCUCUACCUCUCUUGAAUUUGGGGAUGAAGAUAGAAGUCUUUGAUGCUAAAUAAAGCUGUUGCAAGAAAUAAAGAAUCAACAAAUAAUUUGGGUUUAUCCAAAUAAUUCUUUCGUA